Heterocephalus glaber (naked mole-rat) is the source of this 76-nucleotide small nuclear RNA. Its record names the gene U2. It matches the Rfam family "U2 spliceosomal RNA". Rfam says of the family: U2 is a small nuclear RNA (snRNA) component of the spliceosome (involved in pre-mRNA splicing). The record is from Ensembl. NCBI's taxonomy places the organism in Eukaryota, Metazoa, Chordata, Mammalia, Rodentia, Bathyergidae.
AUUGCUUCUCGGCCUUUUGGCUAAGAUCAAGUGUAGUACUACUGUGUUCACAGUAUAAUCAUUAUCCUUAACUUAC